AACGACUCUCGGCAACGGAUAUCUCGGCUCUCGCAUCGAUGAAGAACGUAGCGGAAUGCGAUACUUGGUGUGAAUUGCAGAAUCCCGUGAACCAUCGAGUCUUUGAACGCAAGUUGCGCCCCAAGCCUUCUGGCCGAGGGCACGUCUGCCUGGGUGUCACGCA
This 163-nucleotide ribosomal RNA is filed under the name Teucrium marum. Its description in RNAcentral is "5.8S ribosomal RNA". It matches the Rfam family "5.8S ribosomal RNA". Rfam says of the family: 5.8S ribosomal RNA (5.8S rRNA) is a component of the large subunit of the eukaryotic ribosome. It is transcribed by RNA polymerase I as part of the 45S precursor that also contains 18S and 28S rRNA. Lineage: Eukaryota; Viridiplantae; Streptophyta; Magnoliopsida; Lamiales; Lamiaceae. The record is from RNAcentral.